GACGAACGCUGGCGGCGUGCUUAACACAUGCAAGUCGAACGGAAAGGCCUGCUUUCCCUUGUGGAUUGCGGGUACUCGAGUGGCGAACGGGUGAGUAACACGUGAGUGAUCUGCCCCCAACUUGGGUAUAAGCCUGGGAAACUGGGUCUAAUUCCCGAUAGGACUGCAGGGUGGUGCCUGUGGUGGAAAACGAUUUUCUAGUGGUUGGGGAUGAGCUCGCGGCCUAUUAGCUUGUUGGUGGGGUAAUGGCCUACCAAGGCGGCGACGGGUAGCCGGCCUGAGAGGGUGGACGGCGACAUUGGGACUGAGAUACGGCCCAGACUCCUACGGGAGGCAGCAGUGGGGAAUAUUGCACAAUGGGCGGAAGCCUGAUGCAGCGACGCCGCGUGGGGGAUGACGGCCUUCGGGUUGUAAACUCCUUUCGACCGCGAGGAAGCCACCUGGUUGGAAGGGUGGUGACGGUAGUGGUAGAAGAAGCACCGGCUAACUACGUG
This 494-nucleotide ribosomal RNA is filed under the name uncultured bacterium. RNAcentral describes it as "partial 16S ribosomal RNA". It matches the Rfam family "Bacterial small subunit ribosomal RNA", at positions 28 to 507 of the family's 1533-position model. The record is from RNAcentral.